AUUGAACGCUGGCGGCAGGCUUAACACAUGCAAGUCGAGCGGGGUGAUGGUGCUUGCACUAUCACUUAGCGGCGGACGGGUGAGUAGUGCUUAGGAACCUGCCUAUUAGUGGGGGACAACAUCUCGAAAGGGAUGCUAAUACCGCAUACGUCCUACGGGAGAAAGCAGGGGAUCACUUGUGACCUUGCGCUAAUAGAUGAGCCUAAGUCGGAUUAGCUAGUUGGUGGGGUAAAGGCCUACCAAGGCGACGAUCUGUAGCGGGUCUGAGAGGAUGAUCCGCCACACUGGGACUGAGACACGGCCCAGACUCCUACGGGAGGCAGCAGUGGGGAAUAUUGGACAAUGGGGGGAACCCUGAUCCAGCCAUGCCGCGUGUGUGAAGAAGGCCUUAUGGUUGUAAAGCACUUUAAGCGAGGAGGAGGCUCUUUUGGUUAAUACCCAAGAUGAGUGGACGUUACUCGCAGAAUAAGCACCGGCUGACUCUGUGCCAGCCGCCGCCGUAA
RNAcentral lists this ribosomal RNA (503 nucleotides) under uncultured bacterium. RNAcentral describes it as "partial 16S ribosomal RNA". It matches the Rfam family "Bacterial small subunit ribosomal RNA", at positions 30 to 523 of the family's 1533-position model. The record is from RNAcentral.